AACUUUUUUUGGGGUUAUGCUCAGAGCCAUGCUAUCGGAGUCCGAUUUAGCCAUGCUAGUUGUGCGGGUUUAGGCCCGCAGCGGAAAGCUCAGUAACACGUGUCCAAGCUACCCUGUGGACGGGAAUACUCUCGGGAAACUGAGGCUAAUCCCCGAUAACGCUUUGCUCCUGGAAGGGGCAAAGCCGGAAACGCUCCGGCGCCACAGGAUGCGGCUGCGGUCGAUUAGGUAGACGGUGGGGUAACGGCCCACCGUGCCUAUAAUCGGUACGGGUUGUGAGAGCAAGAGCCCGGAGACGGAAUCUGAGACAAGAUUCCGGGCCCUACGGGGCGCAGCAGGCGCGAAACCUUUACACUGUACGAAAGUGCGAUAAGGGGACUCCGAGUGUGAAGGCAUAGAGCCUUCACUUUUGUACACCGUAAGGUGGUGUACGAAUAAGGACUGGGCAAGACCGGUGCCAGCCGCCGCGGUAAUACCGGCAGUCCGAGUGAUGGCCGAUAUUAUUGGGCCUAAAGCGUCCGUAGCUGGUUGAACAAGUCCGUUGGGAAAUCUGUCCGCUUAACGGGCAGGCGUCCAGCGGAAACUGUUCAGUUUGGGACCGGAAGACCUGAGGGGUACGUCUGGGGUAGGAGUGAAAUCCUGUAAUCCUGGACGGACCGCCGGUGGCGAAAGCGCCUCAGGAGAACGGAUCCGACAGUGAGGGACGAAAGCUAGGGUCUCGAACCGGAUUAGAUACCCGGGUAGUCCUAGCUGUAAACGAUGUCCGCUAGGUGUGGCGCAGGCUACGAGCCUGCGCUGUGCCGUAGGGAAGCCGAGAAGCGGACCGCCUGGGAAGUACGUCUGCAAGGAUGAAACUUAAAGGAAUUGGCGGGGGGAGCACUACAACCGGAGGAGCCUGCGGUUUAUGUGUGACCCCCGAAAAAAU
RNAcentral lists this ribosomal RNA (925 nucleotides) under Halobacterium sp. BAB-2237. RNAcentral describes it as "bacterial SSU rRNA". It matches the Rfam family "Archaeal small subunit ribosomal RNA", at positions 1 to 927 of the family's 1478-position model. The record is from RNAcentral. Lineage: Archaea; Methanobacteriati; Methanobacteriota; Halobacteria; Halobacteriales; Halobacteriaceae.